RNAcentral lists this ribosomal RNA (370 nucleotides) under uncultured organism. Its description in RNAcentral is "bacterial SSU rRNA". It matches the Rfam family "Bacterial small subunit ribosomal RNA", at positions 526 to 896 of the family's 1533-position model. The record is from RNAcentral.
CGAGAGGUCCCAACGUUAUUCGGAAUCACUGGGCUUACAGAGUUCGUAGGCGGUUCUACAAGUGGGGUGUGAAAGCCCUCGGCUCAACCGAGGAACUGCGCUCCAAACUGUAGAACUAGAGGGAGAUAGAGGUGAGCGGAACUGAUGGUGGAGCGGUGAAAUGCGUUGAUAUCAUCAGGAACACCGGAGGCGAAGGCGGCUCACUGGGUCUCUUCUGACGCUGAGGAACGAAAGCUAGGGGAGCAAACGGGAUUAGAUACCCCGGUAGUCCUAGCCGUAAACGAUGAGCACUGGGCCGGAGCUCUGCACAGGGUUUCGGCCGUAGCGAAAGUGUUAAGUGCUCCGCCUGGGGAGUAUGGUCGCAAGGCUG